Molecule: non-coding RNA, 76 nt
Organism: Podarcis lilfordi (Lilford's wall lizard)
Lineage: Eukaryota; Metazoa; Chordata; Lepidosauria; Squamata; Lacertidae
Source: the annotation of a GenBank genome assembly
CCUAGGGCUGAAGCUCAGUGGUGGAGCAUCUGCCUUAUGAGCAGAAAGUCCCAGGUUCAAAUCCUGUCAGGUAGGG